CAGGAUAUGUGCAGGACUUUGCCAGUCAGACUGAGGUGAACAUUGACAAGUCUUGAUUACAGAAUAUCGACUGAAGCUCAGCGUGGGCAAAAGAUAAUGCGAUAAUUUGAGUCUGUCUCUGCUGCACACAGGUGCCUGUAGAGGAGACAUCUCCUUUGGCUUUUAUCUCUCACUUUGGUUCUCCUCGGUUUUCGCUUGUCCUUGGUUUGUCAUCUCCAUCAGGAUGCUAACUGAAACUUGAACCCACUUUCCUAGCCACAGAGAGAGAAAGUUUGUCACAGGAUAUCUAAUAUUUGUGUGUUGGCAGGUCGAUGAUGACAGAUCGUUUUGCUAGAUAAGACCCUCAACCCUCGGCUGGGAUCGUGUAGAGCCCUUUGAAGCUGCAUUGAAACUGCAAUUUGGACCUUCAACCCAUUGUACCCUGUUGAAGUCCACUAUAUGGAGAAAAAUCAUGGAAUGUUUUCCUCAAAAACCUUAAUUUCUUUUCAACUGAAGAAAGAAAGACAUAAACAUCUCGGAUGACAUGGGGCAGAAGAAAGAAAUUCAUACAAGUUUGGAACAACUUGAGGCUCAGGAUGCCCGUUCCAUGGUAACUAAAGAAUACGCCAGCUCCAGUUUGGAUCCAGCCUCUUAGGAAGACUUCAGAUGCCCCAACACCUGUGAAGAGAUGACUCCUAACUUCUGCGAGGACUUCAGAUGACGCAAAAUCUAAAUCAACAUGCACCACUACCAAAAUUUCUAUGUAUUGUAAUCAUUAUGAUCACAACUUGUA
Molecule: long non-coding RNA, 772 nt
Organism: Ctenopharyngodon idella (grass carp)
Lineage: Eukaryota; Metazoa; Chordata; Actinopteri; Cypriniformes; Xenocyprididae
Exons: 4
Source: RefSeq, a predicted model, not a curated record